AAGUCGUAACAAGGUUUCCGUAGGUGAACCUGCGGAAGGAUCAUUGUUGGAAAAAAAAAUCAACAAGCCUUUUUUUUGGCUUGCAAACAAAAAUGUUAGAUACCCAAGCAGAGAGAGAUUAAGAAAAUUUAGUGGAUGGCUGAUAGAAAAGAGGUUGGAAAAAGUGAAUAAAAAAAAACAACUUUCAACAACGGAUCUCUUGGCUCUCA
This 209-nucleotide unclassified non-coding RNA is filed under the name fungal sp. RNAcentral describes it as "partial internal transcribed spacer region". The stretch from base 1 to 46 matches the Rfam family "Eukaryotic small subunit ribosomal RNA", at positions 1786 to 1831 of the family's 1831-position model. The record is from RNAcentral. Lineage: Eukaryota; Fungi.